This 460-nucleotide ribosomal RNA is filed under the name uncultured bacterium. RNAcentral describes it as "partial 16S ribosomal RNA". It matches the Rfam family "Bacterial small subunit ribosomal RNA", at positions 338 to 795 of the family's 1533-position model. The record is from RNAcentral.
CCUACGGGAGGCAGCAGUGAGGAAUAUUGGUCAAUGGCCGGAAGGCUGAACCAGCCAUGCCGCGUGAAGGUCAGUGCCCCUUGGGCGUUUAACUUCUUUUGUGCGGGAGCAAUAAUGGUCACGUGUGGCCAGACGAGAGUACCGUACGAAUAAGCAUCGGCUAACUCCGUGCCAGCAGCCGCGGUAAUGCGGGGGAUGCAAGCGUUAUCCGGAUGUAUUGGGUUUAAAGGGUGCGUAGGCUGGGAGGUAAGUCAGCGGGGAAAUGCCCCCGCUUAACGGGGUGAAGUGCCAUUGAUACUGCCAUGCUGGAGUGCGGAUGCCGUAGGAGGAAUGUGUGGUGUAGCGGUGAAAUGCAUAGAUAUCACGCAGAACACCGAUUGCGAAGGCAUCUCACGAAUCCGCGAUUGACGCUGAUGCACGAAAGCGUGGGUAUCAAACAGGAUUAGAUACCCGUGUAGUC